RNAcentral lists this small RNA (599 nucleotides) under Vigna angularis var. angularis. Its description in RNAcentral is "Non-protein coding transcript". The record is from RNAcentral. Lineage: Eukaryota; Viridiplantae; Streptophyta; Magnoliopsida; Fabales; Fabaceae.
UAUAAGAUAUAAGUUGUUAUAUUUGUUGAUAUUAUCAGUUUUUACAACAAAUCUCAUAGGUCCAACAUCCUAUAAAUACACAAUAUUUCAUCAAGAAAUAUAUACAUUCUUAUACUCAUUACUCGAUUAUCAUAGAUCAUAAAACUUUCUUACUAAUUUGAGUGGCAGAUAACUUUUUGCAGGUGAAUCUUCUCCUUCUGAACAGUAAGAGUUUCAGGAACAUACAAGCCAUCACUUGGCUCUUGCCACCUAUUGAAAAAUCCACACUCCAAAUUCUGUGAAAGUUUGAAAUGAAGAAACGUUUAAGCAAAGCAUGAGCCACAACACUGAGUAGUGGCCAAUGGAUUUCAAGCACUCUAAGAGGACAUGAAGAUACUAUACGUAACCUUUUGUUUUAUAUAAAUGUAUCGUGUCGUGUUUUCAGAUGAGUGUAACUUUCAGACCUGCUUAAUAUGGCUAUGGGAUGUGAAUAUCAUUUUACGAUUACGUAGACAUCCACACUUACUAGACUGCUUGGUCCCCUCUUUUACGAUUACGUACGGAUCUAUGGAUUAUUCUCUUCCAAUUGUUGCAGGUUACUUCCAAAAUUUUAAAUAUUG